Molecule: long non-coding RNA, 465 nt
Filed under: Physcomitrium patens
Lineage: Eukaryota; Viridiplantae; Streptophyta; Bryopsida; Funariales; Funariaceae
Description: long non-coding RNA (PPAT_LNC014215)
Source: RNAcentral
GGUUUUUGAAGUCUUAGCAACUGUUGUUCAAAGUCAAGAUUUGUAUCAAUGAUUUGGAUUUUAUAUAAUAUAAUUAGGGCUAGCAAUUUUGGCUAGUUCAUGCAAUUCGUAUAACUUCUACAAUUAAAAAUUUGAUAUUAUUUGGAUUAUUAGAUAUGCUAAGUAUAUACAAAAUUUUGUGAUAAUCUAACGGCAUGAUUUAGAAAUAUCUAGUUUUUAGCACAAGAGGAUUUUGGAAGGUGGUAAUUUGAAAUUGGGUAGGGUUUCUAUGAUGUCUAAAGAUAUACAAGUCGGAUUAAGGUGAAAAUUGGCAUGGUGUUGAAAGACUUUAAGAUCAAACUACAUACCAAUUUUGAAAUAAAGUUAACAGUUAGAAAGGGAGAAUUCACUACUAGGAUUUUUGCUUCACUUUGUAAGUUGGCAAUGGAGUGACAUUAGUGCAAAUUUUGGAGGUUUUUCUAGGAU